RNAcentral lists this unclassified non-coding RNA (423 nucleotides) under Hevea brasiliensis (rubber tree). Lineage: Eukaryota; Viridiplantae; Streptophyta; Magnoliopsida; Malpighiales; Euphorbiaceae. The record is from RNAcentral.
CCCUCUCGUUGGGUUCUUCUUCCCUCUGGGUUUAGUCUUGCUGCCCAUUGAUCCUCUUGGUUCAAAUUUGUUCCACCAUGUGUUGCUUGGACCCUUUUGGCUGUUCCUUUGUGCUUUUGCUGGGAAACUUUUGAUUAAAUGGCUUCCCUUUGAGCUUCACCGUGUUGUCUUCAUCUCCUCUAAAAUGGCCAUGGAUGGGUCUUCUCUGCUAGAUGGUGGUAAUGUCAUGGUUUCCAGGGCAUUCUCGUGCGGGUCAAACUAGAAAUUGGGUUGGGUGUCUCUGGGCGUCGGGCCUUUAGUUAUCUGGGUUGGAACGACCUCUAGGGCCGUUUUUUUUUAAUUAAGGCACGGUGUUAUAUGUUUGAGAUUCUAAUUGGAUCCUCUGUCUAAGGCAUUUUUUCUGCAAUUAAUAUUUUAUCUUUU